GAUGAAGAACGUAGCGAAAUGCGAUAAGUAGUGUGAAUUGCAGAAUUCAGUGAAUCAUCGAAUCUUUGAACGCACAUUGCGCCCUUUGGUAUUCCAAAGGGCAUGCCUGUUCGAGCGUCAUUUGUACCCUCAAGCUUUGCUUGGUGUUGGGCGUCUUGUCUCUAGCUUUGCUGGAGACUCGCCUUAAAGUAAUUGGCAGCCGGCCUACUGGUUUCGGAGCGCAGCACAAGUCGCACUCUCUAUCAGCAAAGGUCUAGCAUCCAUUAAGCCUUUUUUUCAACUUUUGACCUCGGAUCAGGUAGGGAUACCCGCUGAACUUAAGCAUAUCAAUGCGGAGGA
This 339-nucleotide unclassified non-coding RNA is filed under the name soil metagenome. Its description in RNAcentral is "partial contains 5.8S ribosomal RNA, internal transcribed spacer 2, and large subunit ribosomal RNA". The stretch from base 1 to 120 matches the Rfam family "5.8S ribosomal RNA", at positions 35 to 154 of the family's 154-position model. The record is from RNAcentral.